CACGGGAAAUGGUCGGGAUAGCUCAGUUGGUAGAGCAGCGAAACUGAAAUCUG
RNAcentral lists this transfer RNA (53 nucleotides) under Roscheria melanochaetes. RNAcentral describes it as "partial transfer RNA-Phe". Lineage: Eukaryota; Viridiplantae; Streptophyta; Magnoliopsida; Arecales; Arecaceae. The record is from RNAcentral.